Molecule: long non-coding RNA, 956 nt
Organism: Cervus elaphus (red deer)
Lineage: Eukaryota; Metazoa; Chordata; Mammalia; Artiodactyla; Cervidae
Exons: 3
Source: RefSeq, a predicted model, not a curated record
AGGAUAAAUUCCCAGAAGAGGGAGUUCUGGAAGAAGAGCAGAUGGUCAGCAGUGUGGACCCUGAACCAUACAGUCUGGGUUUGGAUCCAGGCUUUAGCAAUUAUUGCCAGAAGAAAAGGACUAACCUUAAUGGACCGGUUUACUUCCCAACUCUACUGAGAGCCCGAACUUUAGCGACGCGUUAUGUCAAUUAAAAGGACAAGAAAGGAGCUGAAUUUCCACGAAAUGCUCUGCAGCUGUUGGCAUCCACGUGACUGAACCAGUCAGAAGCCAGAGGGUACAGGAGCCCUUCAGUGGAAGCACAAACUGAAGAUAUCUGGCAUAGUAACUGCAAAAUGAAGGGAAAAAGAAAAUCUUGUUUCACUUUCACCUGGAUGCCAGUGGAGCCAGACAUCCAGUAUCUGUGACCAGUGAAUUUAAACUUGAUUGGGAGAAACCCCUUAAGAACAGAAUAAUUUUGACAACAUGGAUUUACUAUAUCUGGAGAAAAAAAAAAAACCUAUGCAUACUUUCUCACCUUCAGAAAGUGGCUGUAGAGACUUUGUUUUCUUGCUCAUUUUAAAAAUUGCAGUGCUGGCAGCCCUGACCACCAAGUCUCGCCUGAGAUAGUUUUCCCCCCAACUCAUCAAAACCCCAUAAUGUACUGUCAGAACCUCUGAAAUUCCAUGUCCCCUUUGAGCUCCAUGUUCUGACAUCUUCUGUAGGCUCUGUUGAAUGACAGAGCUUCCAUGGUGCCUAAAGGAGGCAUUUUCAGUUUGGUGCCAGUCUUGUGUUUAGGGCUGUGAAAUCUGACUGUUAGGGGUGGUCUGCUGGUCAGGUUCAUGUUGGUGUUGGUUACAUACCUAGUUUAGAUAUUUGCUUUUAUAGUAACAGCUAGACCUUCACUAGUGGUCUAUAAUAGAACUCUUGUGGUUAAAAGCAGCAUAUACUGUUUCAUAUCCUAAUUUUUCAGUUUU